UUGGAAAGAUUUUUCGGUUGGGGAGGGGCUCGCGGCCUAUCAGCUUGUUGGUGAGGUAAUGGCUCACCAAGGCGUCGACGGGUAGCCGGCCUGAGAGGGUGACCGGCCACACUGGGACUGAGACACGGCCCAGACUCCUACGGGAGGCAGCAGUGGGGAAUAUUGCACAAUGGGCGGAAGCCUGAUGCAGCAACGCCGCGUGAGGGAUGACGGCCUUCGGGUUGUAAACCUCUUUUAGCAGGGAAGAAGCGAAAGUGACGGUACCUGCAGAAAAAGCGCCGGCUAACUACGUGCCAGCAGCCGCGGUAAUACGUAGGGCGCAAGCGUUAUCCGGAAUUAUUGGGCGUAAAGAGCUCGUAGGCGGUUUGUCGCGUCUGCUGUGAAAUCCCGAGGCUCAACCUCGGGCCUGCAGUGGGUACGGGCAGACUAGAGUGCGGUAGGGGAGAUUGGAAUUCCUGGUGUAGCGGUGGAAUGCGCAGAUAUCAGGAGGAACACCGAUGGCGAAGGCAGAUCUCUGGGCCGUAACUGACGCUGAGGAGCGAAAGGGUGGGGAGCAAACAGGCUUAGAUACCCUGGUAGUCCACCCCGUAAACGUUGGGAACUAGUUGUGGGGUCCAUUCCACGGAUUCCGUGACGCAGCUAACGCAUUAAGUUCCCCGCCUGGGGAGUACGGCCGCAAGGCUAAAACUCAAAGGAAUUGACGGGGACCCGCACAAGCGGCGGAGCAUGCGGAUUAAUUCGAUGCAACGCGAAGAACCUUACCAAGGCUUGACAUAUACGAGAACGGGCCAGAAAUGGUCAACUCUUUGGACACUCGUAAACAGGUGGUGCAUGGUUGUCGUCAGCUCGUGUCGUGAGAUGUUGGGUUAAGUCCCGCAACGAGCGCAACCCUCGUUCUAUGUUGCCAGCACGUAAUGGUGGGAACUCAUGGGAUACUGCCGGGGUCAACUCGGAGGAAGGUGGGGAUGACGUCAAAUCAUCAUGCCCCUUAUGUCUUGGGCUUCACGCAUGCUACAAUGGCCGGUACAAAGGGCUGCAAUACCGUGAGGUGGAGCGAAUCCCAAAAAGCCGGUCCCAGUUCGGAUUGAGGUCUGCAACUCGACCUCAUGAAGUCGGAGUCGCUAGUAAUCGCAGAUCAGCAACGCUGCGGUGAAUACGUUCCCGGGUCUUGUACACACCGCCCGUCAAGUCAUGAAAGUCGGUAACACCUGAAGCCGGUGGCCUAACCCUUGUGGAGGGAGCCGUCGAAG
Molecule: ribosomal RNA, 1250 nt
Filed under: Microbacterium paraoxydans
Lineage: Bacteria; Bacillati; Actinomycetota; Actinomycetes; Micrococcales; Microbacteriaceae
Description: bacterial SSU rRNA
Rfam family: Bacterial small subunit ribosomal RNA
Source: RNAcentral